This is a long non-coding RNA of Macadamia integrifolia, 1311 nucleotides long. RefSeq lists it as uncharacterized. The transcript is spliced from 2 exons. Lineage: Eukaryota; Viridiplantae; Streptophyta; Magnoliopsida; Proteales; Proteaceae. The record is from RefSeq and is a predicted model, not a curated record.
ACCACCCAUCUUUGUCAGAAACCCACACCCGACACCCGAGCGCCAUAUCUUACCCAUACGAGAUUUAUCCUCUGUUUUCUCUACUGUGCCCUCUCUUCCCAUCUUCAAAGCUUGUGCUAGGGGGCUUCAGCGGUUUUUGUGGCAGAUGGCCGGUUUUUUGUUCUGAAAACUGGGUUUCGUUGGUGGGUUACUGGAGGUUGGGUUUCUGGAAGGAGGGAUUUCUAAAUUUUUUUUUCUUUUCUUCUGGGUUUUCCUUGGUGGAGUCGUUGUUGGUGUUUUAACGAAAAGGAGGAAGUGGUGGUUGGUAGUUUUGUCUUCUGAAAUUUUGAAGAUUGGAUGGAUGGAUGGAUAAGAGGAGGGUUGUUAGAGUACUAACCCCUCAAAAUGUUCAGUGUGGGAAUUCGGAAUUCUGAAGUUGGAAGGUGGGCUGUCCAAGUGAAGGAAGGACCAAGGAGGAUAAGAUUUGAAUGUGUGUUUGUUUGUUUUGCUCAAGGAGGAUAGAUUUAGACACAUCCAUUUUUUAGAUCGGCAGUUGGGAAUUUUACCUAGGUCGCCUUUGAUCACCGGGGUCAGCAAAACCACGCCUCUGUAGACGGAGAAGCUCUGGGGGAGGGCAGUUUGGGAGAGAAGAGAUCGGAAGAGGGUCUCGGCAGUUUGGGAGAGAAGAAAAUGGAAGAGAAGAGAUCGGAAGAGGAGAAGAGAUCGGCAGUUGGGGAUUUUACCUAGGUCACCUUCGAUCACCGGCAUCGGCAAAACCACCUCUCCUUAUAGAUAAAGAUCAGAUUCCAUAUGAGGAACACAGUCUCUGCAACUCCUUCAGUGGGAUUGCUCCCUGUUGUUCAGUAGGUCUGAGAUUUGAGCUUUCAUUUCACGACCUUACCUGGAGAGAAAAGUCAAAGCCGUUUCAUGAAAAUGUGAUCGGAUUUGGAAGCCGCGACGAAAAAUGCCGGUGAAAGGAGUGCAACGAACGAGGUGGGAAGAAAAGGGCAUAGUAGAGAAAAUAGAGGAAAAAAUCUCGUACAGGUAAGGGCAUGGCGGUCGGGUACGGAUUUUUAUUAAAGUCGGGUGUUUUUCUGGGAAAGACUGAUAACCGUUGGAUCCGUUUUGUACACAUGUCAACUUCCCAAGUAGACAUGGCAAGACAUGGGCAAUUGAGGAUAAUUGAGGAUAAGGAGAGGAGCCGGAUCUCUUUUAAGUUUGGUUGACUUUCAACAACUCCAGUAGAUGCCAUAACUUAAUUUUUGUUUUGUUUUAUUUAUUUAUUUAUUAUUAUUUUUUAAUAUACACAAGCUAUAAAACAGACAAGUCACA